CUUAUCAAGAGUGGUUGAGGGACCGGCCCUAUGAAACCACGGCAACCUGCCUCUGGCAAGGUGCCAAAUCCGGCGGUAGAGUAUCGCAAGAUGAG
Molecule: non-coding RNA, 95 nt
Filed under: uncultured Lawsonibacter sp.
Lineage: Bacteria; Bacillati; Bacillota; Clostridia; Eubacteriales; Oscillospiraceae
Description: SAM riboswitch (S box leader)
Rfam family: SAM riboswitch aptamer (S box leader)
About the family: The SAM riboswitch is found upstream of a number of genes which code for proteins involved in methionine or cysteine biosynthesis in Gram-positive bacteria.
Source: RNAcentral